Non-coding RNA from Trichonephila inaurata madagascariensis, 80 nucleotides. NCBI's taxonomy places the organism in Eukaryota, Metazoa, Arthropoda, Arachnida, Araneae, Nephilidae. The record is from the annotation of a GenBank genome assembly.
GGGGAAACCCGGGGGUAGCUCAGAUGGUAGAGUGCUCGCUUGGCAUGCGAGAGGUACGGGGAUUUUCCCCCGCGCCCCCA